AAUAUUUGAGCAUGCCACGACCUUCCACGCUAAUUUUUGUUGCUUGCAGUUGCUUCUUUUUUGGUGCUUUCAGCUGUUGCAACUUUCUAUUCAUCUUUAGUCGGCGCUGAUCUUGUACAACUUGCUUAGCACGGUUUCUAAUCUCUUCAGGAUCAAUCUUAGACUGAGGGCGCACCACAAAAUCCAAUGGAGUUGCUUCUGGCCUAGAAGCAUGUUGUCUGU
RNAcentral lists this unclassified non-coding RNA (222 nucleotides) under Hevea brasiliensis (rubber tree). The record is from RNAcentral. Lineage: Eukaryota; Viridiplantae; Streptophyta; Magnoliopsida; Malpighiales; Euphorbiaceae.